RNAcentral lists this RNase P RNA (340 nucleotides) under Flavobacterium kayseriense. Its description in RNAcentral is "Flavobacterium sp. F-47 RNase P RNA component class A". It matches the Rfam family "Bacterial RNase P class A". Rfam says of the family: Ribonuclease P (RNase P) is a ubiquitous endoribonuclease, found in archaea, bacteria and eukarya as well as chloroplasts and mitochondria. Its best characterised activity is the generation of mature 5'-ends of tRNAs by cleaving the 5'-leader elements of precursor-tRNAs. Lineage: Bacteria; Pseudomonadati; Bacteroidota; Flavobacteriia; Flavobacteriales; Flavobacteriaceae. The record is from RNAcentral.
ACUGCAGACCGCCUUAUCGUCGUUUUACUUUAAGUAGUAAAAGGGAGGAAAGUCCGGACACCGUAGAGAAGCGUAGCGGGUAACACCCGUCAGUUUGAUUAGGAGUUUCUCCUAAUUAGAUUAGGACAAGUGCAACAGAAAGUAUGUACAGGUAAUGCUGUAGUGAAACCAGGUAAACUCUACGCGGUGAAAUACCAAGUAUAUCAGCAUUUAAGGGCGUCUCGUUCGUUGCUGAAGGGUAGGUAGCUUGAGCUUACGAGUAAUUGUAAGUCUAGAUAAAUGAUAAGGUAACACUGAAUUUUAGUGUUAACAGAAUCCGGCUUAUAGGUCUGUUUUUUUU